GAUGAAGAACGCAGCGAAAUGCGAUAAGUAGUGUGAAUUGCAGAAGUACCGUGAAUCAUCGAAUCUUUGAACGCAAAUUGCACUCUCUGGUAUUCCGGGGAGUAUGCCUGUUUGAGGGUCGCUUAACAAACCAUCGAUUUCGUUGCUUUUUUUUUUAAAGUGAUGUUUAUCGGAUUUGUGCCGUCUUUUUUUUUAUAUUUAAGUGGCUUAAAAUUGAUUUUUUUGGUACGAUCGAAGCGUAUUUUUAUGAUCAAUUUUUGGUUAAAGAAACGCACACGUACCGUUAUUUAUAUGAUGUAAUACGUUUGACUAUUGGAUUUAGUUCAUUCGUAUACGAUAUCUUUCAAUAUUUGACCUCAAAUCAGGUAAGAACACCCGCUGAACUUAAGCAUAUCAAUAAGCGGAGGA
Molecule: unclassified non-coding RNA, 408 nt
Filed under: soil metagenome
Description: partial contains 5.8S ribosomal RNA, internal transcribed spacer 2, and large subunit ribosomal RNA
Rfam family: 5.8S ribosomal RNA (bases 1-121)
Source: RNAcentral